GUGGGGAAUAUUGGGCAAUGGGGGAAACCCUGACCCAGCAACGCCGCGUGAAGGAAGAAGGUUUUCGGAUCGUAAACUUCUAUCCUUGGUGAAGAUAAUGACGGUAGCCAAGAAGGAAGCCCCGGCUAACUACGUGCCAGCAGCCGCGGUAAUACGUAGGGGGCAAGCGUUGUCCGGAAUGAUUGGGCGUAACGGGCGCGUAGGCGGCCUGGUAAGUCUGGAGUGAAAGUCCUGCUUUUAAGGUGGGAAUUGCUUUGGAUACUGUCGGGCUUGAGUGCAGGAGAGGUAAGCGGAAUUCCCGGUGUAGCGGUGAAAUGCGUAGAGAUCGGGAGGAACACCAGUGGCGAAGGCGGCUUACUGGACUGUAACUGACGCUGAGGCGCGAAAGUGUGGGGAGCAAACAGGAUUAGAUACACCGGUAGUCC
This 425-nucleotide ribosomal RNA is filed under the name uncultured bacterium. RNAcentral's name for it is "partial 16S ribosomal RNA". It matches the Rfam family "Bacterial small subunit ribosomal RNA", at positions 354 to 796 of the family's 1533-position model. The record is from RNAcentral.